Prunus mume (Japanese apricot) is the source of this 293-nucleotide non-coding RNA. The record is from RefSeq and is a predicted model, not a curated record. NCBI's taxonomy places the organism in Eukaryota, Viridiplantae, Streptophyta, Magnoliopsida, Rosales, Rosaceae.
CUUCUUCUGCUGAGCCAAAAAUUUAUCUGUAACACAAGAUGCGCUCUCUCCGGGAGCAGUAUCUCUCAAUGCUGCAAAGAGCCCAGCUAUAGUGGUUAUUGACUAUCCAUGUUUGUCCAAAAAAAUCUUGUUUCCGAUUUCGGAUGAGGUAAAAUCAACUGUUACUGAUCCUGGCCAAAGUCACAUGUCCACAGUUGCCAUACCCAAUGGUUUGCCCACUACUGUUGCCCUGACACUAAAUGAGGGCUCAUCUCCAAUGAGCACGGAUUUUCAUCCCAUUUGGCAGACAAUUC